RNAcentral lists this ribosomal RNA (495 nucleotides) under uncultured bacterium. Its description in RNAcentral is "partial 16S ribosomal RNA". It matches the Rfam family "Bacterial small subunit ribosomal RNA", at positions 28 to 507 of the family's 1533-position model. The record is from RNAcentral.
GACGAACGCUGGCGGCGUGCCUAAUACAUGCAAGUAGAACGCUGAAGGAGGAGCUUGCUUCUCUGGAUGAGUUGCGAACGGGUGAGUAACGCGUAGGUAACCUGCCUGGUAGCGGGGGAUAACUAUUGGAAACGAUAGCUAAUACCGCAUAAGAGUAGAUGUUGCAUGACAUUUGCUAAUAAGGUGCAAUUGCAUCACUACCAGAUGGACCUGCGUUGUAUUAGCUAGUUGGUGGGGUAACGGCUUACCAAGGCGACGAUACAUAGCCGACCUGAGAGGGGUGACGGGCCCACCGGGACUGGGACACGGGCCAGGACCCUACGGGGGGGAGCCGUAGGGAAACUUCGGCAAUGGGGCGAAGGCUGGCCGAGGCACGCCGGGGUAGGUGAUAAGGGUUUCGGAACGGUAAACUCCGUUGAUUGGGGAGGACGAGUGUGAGAGUGGAAAAUUCACGCUGUGACGGUAUCUUACCAGAAAGGGACGGCUAACUACGUG